This 618-nucleotide ribosomal RNA is filed under the name uncultured bacterium. RNAcentral's name for it is "partial 16S ribosomal RNA". The record is from RNAcentral.
ACGGCUACCUUGUUACGACUUAGCCCCAAUUACCAGUUUUACCCUAGGACGCUCCUUGCGGUUACGUACUUCAGGUACCCCCGGCUUUCAUGGCUUGACGGGCGGUGUGUACAAGGCCCGGGAACGUAUUCACCGCGCCAUGGCUGAUGCGCGAUUACUAGCGAAUCCAGCUUCACGAAGUCGGGUUGCAGACUUCGAUCCGAACUGAGAGAGGUUUUUGGGAUUAGCGUCCUGUCGCCAGGUAGCUGCCUUCUGUACCCCCCAUUGUAACACGUGUGUAGCCCCGGACGUAAGGGCCGUGCUGAUUUGACGUCAUCCCCACCUUCCUCACAUCUUACGACGGCAGUCUCUCUAGAGUCCUCAGCAUGACCUGUUAGUAACUAAAGAUAAGGGUUGCGCUCGUUAUGGCACUUAAGCCGACACCUCACGGCACGAGCUGACGACAACCAUGCAGCACCUUCACACCUGCCUUGCGGCUAACAUGUUUCCACGUUAUUCAGGUGCAAUUUAAGCCCGGGUAAGGUUCCUCGCGUAUCAUCGAAUUAAACCACAUGUUCCUCCGCUUGUGCGGGCCCCCGUCAAUUCCUUUGAGUUUCACCGUUGCCGGCGUACUCCCCA